This 72-nucleotide transfer RNA is filed under the name Candidatus Omnitrophota bacterium. RNAcentral's name for it is "tRNA-Arg". It matches the Rfam family "tRNA". Rfam says of the family: Transfer RNA (tRNA) molecules are approximately 80 nucleotides in length. The record is from RNAcentral. Lineage: Bacteria; Pseudomonadati; Candidatus Omnitrophota.
GUCCCCGUAGCUCAACGGAUAGAGCGUUAGCCUCCGGAGCUAAAAGUGCUGGUUCGAUUCCAGCCGGGGACG